This 920-nucleotide ribosomal RNA is filed under the name uncultured bacterium. RNAcentral describes it as "bacterial SSU rRNA". It matches the Rfam family "Bacterial small subunit ribosomal RNA", at positions 8 to 916 of the family's 1533-position model. The record is from RNAcentral.
AGAGUUUGAUCCUGGCUCAGAACGAACGCUGGCGGCAUGCCUAACACAUGCAAGUCGAACGAACCCUUCGGGGUUAGUGGCGCACGGGUGCGUAACGCGUAGGUAAUCUACCCUUAUACCUGGGAUAACAUUGGGAAACUGGUGCUAAUACCGGAUACACUUCUUUGCUGCGGGGCAAAGGAGGAAAGGUGACCUCUUCAUGAAAGUUACCGUACAGGGAUGAGCCUGCGUACCAUUAGCUAGUAGGCGGGGUAACGGCCCACCUAGGCAACGAUGGUUAGCGGGUCUGAGAGGAUGAUCCGCCACACUGGAACUGGAACACGGACCAGACUCCUACGGGAGGCAGCAGUGAGGAAUAUUGCGCAAUGGGGGAAACCCUGACGCAGCGACGCCGCGUGAGUGAGGAAGGCCUUCGGGUCGUAAAGCUCUGUCAGAAGGGAAGAAGUGUUAUACGGUUAAUACCCGUAUAAUUUGACGGUACCUUCAGAGGAAGCACCGGCUAACUCCGUGCCAGCAGCCGCGGUAAUACGGAGGGUGCGAGCGUUGUUCGGAAUUACUGGGCGUAAAGGGCGCGUAGGCGGCUUUAUAAGUCAGAUGUGAAAGCCCACGGCUUAACUGUGGAAGUGCAUUUGAAACUGUGAAGCUUGAGUAUCGGAGGGGAGUGUGGAAUUCCCGGUGUAGAGGUGAAAUUCGUAGAGAUCGGGAGGAACACCGGUGGCGAAGGCGACACUCUGGACGAAUACUGACGCUGAGGCGCGAAAGCGUGGGGAGCAAACAGGAUUAGAUACCCUGGUAGUCCACGCCGUAAACGAUGUGAACUAGAGGUAGGUGGUGUUGAUCCCAUCUGUCUCGCAGCUAACGCAUUAAGUUCACCGCCUGGGGAGUACGGUCGCAAGAUUAAAACUCAAAGGAAUUGACGG